AUGAAUUCCGAGCUGGGGAGGAGGAGGAUGAUGAUGAUGAUGAUGAUGAUGAUGAUGGGAUGGGGAAGAUUCUCUCCUUUCAUGAAAAGAUCAAAGCCCUUUAAGAAAACAAGGCCACCAACUGCAAAGUGCUCUGAACAUUCAGGGGCUCCCCCUUGGGGUCGGGAAUUCCUUCGGGACAUUCCCUGGGGUGGGAUUUGUGCCUUUCCAAAGGCUUUGGAAAGGGAAUUGUGCCCUUCCAAGGGCUUUGGAAAGGGAAUUGUGCCCUUCCAAGGGCUUUGGAAAAGGAUUUGUUCCCGCCCAAGGACCCUGGACAGGGAAUUGUGCCCCUCCAAGGGAUCUGGACAGGGAUUUUUGCCCUCCCAAGGGUGGGAGCAGCGCUGGAUUUCGGAGCCGAGCCCCGAGCCCACCCCUGGGAAGGUUUUGGGGGGCUCAGGGCAGCCCUGGAGACAGGGAAGGGGGAAAAGGGGCCCAGGAUCCCUCUGGAUCAUCCCUCCAACCCCAGGAUCCCUCUGGAUCAUCCCUCCUGCCCCGGGAUCCCUCUGGAUCAUCCCUCCAACCCCAGGAUCCCUCUGGAUCAUCCCUCCUGCCCCGGGAUCCCUCUGGAUCAUCCCUCCCACCCCGGGAUUCCCUUGCCUCGGGCUCAAAUCCCAAAGGGAGCAGGGUUGGGAGCUGCCCACCCCAAUCAUGGAUUGCUUUUCAUUCCACAGGGAAACAAAAACAACAACAANAAAAAAAAAAAAAACAUCCUUGGUGCAGUUUUUUUGGUGUGAGGAAAAAAAAUCCUUCCUGGGAUUUGUAAAUCCAGGUGGGAAUGGUGGGAUCCAGGCUGGAUUUCCUAAAUUGUGGUGUCAGGCAGUGAACAGAAGGGAUUCCCUGUCAGCUCAAGGGAAUCCUGGUCCCAUUCCUGAGGAAUUCCUGCUCUGGGUGGAAUUCAGAGCUGGGAAAGGUGGAGGGGAUUUUUGGGGAUUUUUUUUUUCCUCCCCUCUCUGGUGCUCUGUGGCAGUAGAUUCAGGGAUUUGCUGCUGGAUUCCAUUGGAUUUUGGGAAAACUCCACCCAAACCUCCUCUCCCAGGUUUCUCAGCGUGCCCUGGUGGGGAUGGAACAGCAGCUGAUCCCAAAUUCUUGGGAGAUUUUCCCUGGAUUUUGGCAAAUUUGGUCCAUUCCAAACCAAACUCAAGCCUGGAAUUUUGGAGUGUUCUCUGUGCUUUGUGUGAUUUUGUCAGUUUGCAGGGGAUGUUCCAGCAUCAUCCCAAGAAUUU
RNAcentral lists this long non-coding RNA (1262 nucleotides) under Zonotrichia albicollis (white-throated sparrow). RNAcentral describes it as "lncRNA (ENSZALG00000005944.1)". The record is from RNAcentral. Lineage: Eukaryota; Metazoa; Chordata; Aves; Passeriformes; Passerellidae.